CAGUCGCCGCGGGAUACGGAGGAUCCAAGCGUUAUCCGGAAUCAUUUGGUUUAAAGGGUCCGUAGGCGGUCUUGUAAGUCAGUGGUGAAAGCCCAUCGCUCAACGGUGGAACGGCCAUUGAUACUGCAGGACUUGAAUUAUUGGGAAGUAACUAGAAUAUGUAGUGUAGCGGUGAAAUGCUUAGAGAUUACAUGGAAUACCAAUUGCGAAGGCAGGUUACUACCAAUUGAUUGACGCUGAUGGACGAAAGCGUGGGUAGCGAACAGGAUUAGAUACCCCUGUAGUCCCUGUCUCUUAUACA
Molecule: ribosomal RNA, 301 nt
Filed under: uncultured bacterium
Lineage: Bacteria
Description: partial 16S ribosomal RNA
Rfam family: Bacterial small subunit ribosomal RNA
Source: RNAcentral